AAAUCUUCCUGCCAGGCAUUCCAAGUUGGGCCUACUUCUGAUCCCAACCUCUGCUGGCUGAGAAAGAUAUAGAGGAGAAGACAUCUUUGCAAAAACAUCAUUGGUGACUGGGUAUUGCUAAGAACUGAAAUCCCCACUAGUUAAGAACAGGUGAGACCACAGAAGAGUAAGUAGACAGGGAAUCUUGCUCUGCUUAUUGUGAUUUUGUCAUGAGAGCAUUGAGCUGAGUUAUCUGACGCAGAUGAUUUUAGUCCUCUUUCCUAAUAGCCUGCAAACUACCAACAGGCAGAUUUUUCUGAAUUUGUUAACUGCAGCUGUUGAAUGAAGCUGUGUCCAGUACUGAAGAGAGGCUUCAGCUCUGUGAUCGCUUAGUUACGUGACACCCAUAGUUGAUGGGUUGUUUAGGAGUUGUUUGCAUCUGUUAUUCAUUCUCUGUAUGAGUUACAGGUUUUACUGGCAGACCUCUAAGGUAGAAUAAUGGAGCUUUAGCAUUUACAGCAUAUGUCUUGCCUGUACCCUGUUGACCAAAGAAGGGAAGAGAAAUAUGAAAGAGGAAUGACGGUUUUCAUUUAAGUUUACUCAUGCUAGUCACAGCUACCAGACUGUUUUGAAAACAUUAAGGGAACGAGGGACUGAAACAUGUGUUAUCUAUAGUGUUGCUUCAUUGCACGUCUAGCAAAGGCUGUGGUGCUGUUUUGGAAGUGAGCCUCUUUGUCAACUAACUGGAAAAAAAAAAGAGUCGAAGUAAGACUGACAUCAUAGCUCAAGUUGGAAGAGAUUUUGGAAGAUCUUUAGCUAACCUGCCGCAUAAAGCAAGGUCUGUUUGAGGUCAGGUAAUUCAGGGCUUUAUCUAUUCUCAUCUUGAAAUACUGCAUGACUUGAGAGAACACGACUUCCAUGGACAACCUGCUCUGCCUGCCUGACUGUCCUCAUGGUGAAGAUGUCUCAUCUUAUAUCCUGUCUGACCAUCUCUUGUUUCAAAUUAGGCUUCUUGUGUGUUCUCCUCUGCCUGUGCAGUGCUGUGAGAAGACAGGUUUUUGUCUUCAUGGUACCUGUGUUACCCUCUCCAGUGGUGAGAUUGGAAUCUGGACCUCAAUCACGAGUCAACUUCUUGUCUUCCAUAUCAGACUCUCUACAGAGGGACAAACCAACUAGAUCUGCAUGAGGGAGGAUAUUGGGAAGUGUGCUGUCACUGUGAAGUCACUGUCCAGCAUGGGAGUUGAAGGAGUGGGCUGGAUGAUUGUUUGUCCUUUUCCUCUCCUGUCUUGACAGGGGAGGUUUGAAUUGCCCAUCUAGAGUUGAAACUUUGCCCAUUCUCUUUGUGCUACCACUUUCUGAUUAUUUUUUGCUGUACGUAAAUAUUGUUAAUGUUAAUUUAUGGGGAAGAGAGGGAAGCUAAUGGGAGAGUCUCCUGUUCUGCUUGCUCUAUUUGUUUCACUUUUCCUACUUUAGUAUCUCAAAGCAACUUCUGUCAUCGGUGACAGGGGAAAUUCCCCUUGUUGCAAUAUGUUUUUACAAUCUGAGUUCCUGCCACGUGCUCAGUAGCAUGUUGACAGGCAAGUUGUGGAGGAGUGAAGAACCUUGGGGGGAUAGCUUGGGAGAAAGGGCAGGUGUGGGGGUGAAUUUCCCAAAUGGGAACUGUUUUGUCUUUUGUCAUGGAAAAGAAGUUUUACUCUUUCAGAACAUAAGUAGCUAGAGGGAGUACUUGAACUUCUUGUGAGUCACUUCACAUGAGCCAUAGAUGUAAUGACAUAUAUUAAAACCUAAUGGUGAAGUUUGAACUGGCUUUCUGAUCCUGUUAGGAGCAGAAGGCAGUGAGUCCACCUUGGCUCAUACUGACUUGCAUUCUAUGAUAGUUCCCCUAAAGCUUGCAGUUACCUUCUCCAGGAACUGAAACGCUCAGCUCUAAUGAUGUCUUUACAUCACAUUUUCCCACGUCAUUUUUUUUCACCUUUCUUGAAGUCAUGUCUACAUCAAAGUCCAGCUCCUUUGUUUUGCUGCCUGCUCUCUGCCAUACCUCAUUUUGCCAAAGUCAACACUUCUACACUGGAAAGAACUGUGAUGCUCUAAUGACUGAAAUUCACUGUGUAUCUGGUCUAGGAAGGGGAAAAAAUGUAAUCUGUGAUAUCUUACUCAUUCAGUCUCUCUGUCUCAUUCCCAAAAUGGAUUAAUAGCCAGAGAUAAAGAGUUAGCGGUGUCUCUUCUUGCUCUGUUUAGAGUUUUCAUAGUUUAGGCAGUGCUAUGUAGUGUCAUCAUGUCAGCUUACCAGAAUGCCAGUGAGUGCAGAAGAUGAACUCCAGAGAUUUGCAGUAAGGGGUUUCAUUGCUACUCCUGUGACUGCCUUAAGUAAUGCUGUGUGAAGCGUUGUUCCUUUGAAUUGUCCUUCAUGCUGCAAGAGCUUUGUCCAGUAAGUGAGCAAACUUGGGAAUUUCUUCUAACAACAGUUACUUCAGAAAAAUUAGGAGGCUUAAAUAUAGUGUAACAAACUUUUUGCUUCUGUGUGUCUAGAAACUGGAAAUAUGAAGAAUAACAGAGGUACACUGUAUUCAUAUAAAAUCUUUCAGGCUCAAGCUUCCAUGAGAAACUUGGCCUGGAAUAAGCUGUCUUAUAAUUACUAUAUAUAAGCAAAAAAAAAAAUGGAGCAUUUUGCUGAUCCUUGAACUUACUGUCUUGAUCCUUCAUGCUAUAUUUCCUUAAUAGUUUUUCUGUGACUUAAAAAAGCAUAUGCAUUUUUCACUGAAGUUGUCAUUCAGAGACUUUGUGCCUUUACAAGCUGUUCCCUAUUUUUGGCCAAAGGUUGUGUUGGAGGGUGGAUGAGCACAUCAGAACUUGAUGAUCUACCCUGUACAUUCUGUACUUCAAACAAAAACUGCAAAAACUUUCUCUGAACUCAGCUUAAACUACUCCAAGCAACUAUCAGCAUGAUUAAAUAGUAACAUGAAUAGUCCCUUCUGAACCAUCUAUGCGUGUUACAGAUGGAACUAAUGUAUUUAAAACAAAUAUUGCACAAUGAAGUACUAUGGAAAAGCUUUUGAUUUGAAGUUCCCAAACAUCCAACUUACCUUUGUCUGAGUGUUGGCUUUAAGCUUUUGGAAAUGUUCCUUACACUGCUCCAUUUCUUCUGGUGUGGGAGAUACGGCUGAAAAUUACCUUCUGAAUUGCGUUUGAAGUGACUCAGUUCUUUCUUUUUUCUGGGGUGCCAUGUCACCACAAGACUUGCUUUUCAAGGCCCAGGAUAGUGUUUCAGGUGCUGGUGUGUGGCACAGGAUGCUUCAAGCCAUCUGGUGGCUCCAUGUGGGUUUGUGGGAGAGUAAUAUAAUCAACCUGCCAGGCCUCACCAUAUUUGCUCCAGCCAUCAUUUUCCAUACCAAAGAGUCUUUACAUGCUUGGCUUGUUUAAUGUAGCGCAUAUUAUGUCCGUGGUUAACCUGUGAAAUAGCAUCCAAGGUCAAGUCCAUCCCUUGAUCCUGAGCCCAUCUGUUAUGCUGCAUCUCUUCCUUGAUGGCCUGAGGUGUCAUGGACCUACUGAGAUAGAAGUAAUUCACCCUUAGGUUGUCAGUCCAGAUCUACCUGAGCCACUUAAAUCCUAGCAGCCUGAUCCACCUGCUGGUUGUUUUGAUCUUCUUCAGUAACAAGAGUCUUGGCUAUGUGGGCAUCUACGUGAUGUGCUUUUGCAACCAUGCUUUCUAUUGAGGCAGCGGUAUCUUUCCAUAGUGCAGCAACCCACAUGUGUUUUCCUCUGUGCUGCCAGUUCUGCUUCCAUUGCUGUAACCACCCCCACAGGAUAUUUGCCACCAUCCAGGAGUCAAUAUAGCGGUUGGAAGCUGGCCGCUUCUCUUGUUCAGUGUUAUCUAAAGCCAGUUGGAUGGCCUUCUCUUUAGCAAAUAGUCUUGAUUCACCUUCUCCUUCAGUAUCUUCUGCAACUUCUUGUGUAGAACUCCAGACAGCAGCCUUCCACUUCCAGUGGUUUCUAAAUAUGAAAAGACCCAUCAAUGAACAAGGCACAUUUCUUCUAAUUCUCUGGUAGUGGACUAUAUAGCGAAGCCUUUUCAGCAUGCGUUACCUCCUCUUCUGGCAAUAUUCUGAAACCUUUGUCUUUGGGCCAGUCAAUGAGCACUUCCAAGAUUCCUGGAUAACUGGGGUUUCCUACCUGAGCCCAUCAUGUCAUCAGUACAACCCACUUACUCCACAUAGCAUCAGUAGCAUGAUGUGUGUGGGGAACCCUUCCUUUGAACAUCUAGUCCAGUACCAACAGUUGGGUUGCCAAAAGGAGCUUGAAAUAGAAAUAUAAGAAGUUUGGUCUAGAUACUGCAGCAGGAGAAGGAGUGUCCAAGGAGCAAAGCUAAAUUUCUCUGAGUCUUAUCUCUGCAGUCUGAAAAAGCAGGCUUGCAAUGUGCUUGUUGAGCCUGGACCUGUGGUGCUAUGGUGGGAGUGUACUCCCAUCCCUUGGGCAAAGGUCUGUGAGUAUUCAGCUGUCCUUUCUGAGAACCCAUUAUCAAGCAUUUUAGUGAAAAGACUAAGGCUGAGCUAAGAAACCACUAAGGAAGAUAGUGAGAGUGAAAAGGAAAUGAAAGUUUUAAUUCACACAGUCCUUGUGAUUCCUUGUAAAAUACAUACACACUAUGAAUUCAGAAUUGUAAUUAGGACUUUCAAUUUCUGAUUUCUAGCCCUAACAGAGCAUGUUUAAUCUGAAUUUCAUGAACUAAGUACAUCACAACUUCAGAACACACAGUGACAUGCUGUGAAAAUGACUUUACAAAUCUCUAAUAGAAUUAAACAGGAGACUGAAAAGAAUUGAUUAAAGAUAUCUGACUCUUUCUUGAGAUACUGAGAGCUAAUAUUGAGCGUGUAAUUGUUAUAUAAGAUAAUAAUUUAUGACCAUCUACCUGUAUCAGUUGUGAAUUGGAGUAAGGAAGAAGAUAUUCUACAAAACAUAAUUUUUUGUGUAAGCUGCUACUUAAGUGCAAAGUCAGUAUGAACAAAUUGGCUUGGGAAAGUUCAAGAGCAACUCAGAUUUUCCUUUCAGAAUGGUCUAGAGUCUCUUGAUCUAAGGAGAACUAAAUGUUUUUUUGGUUUACUUCAGUUUCCUCCUUUCCAGGAAUGCUCUGUACUGAAGUAUUCAACAGGAAAGAGGUCAACUUUUGGAGAGAAUCUGGGCAACUUUGUAUGGAAACUAUUUUAAAAAUCUAAAAAAUAGAUUGGACACUAGACAUCUAGAACUAACUAGAUAAAUAAAUCUCUGAAUCUUUCAGUCUCA
Numida meleagris (helmeted guineafowl) is the source of this 5256-nucleotide long non-coding RNA. The record is from Ensembl. NCBI's taxonomy places the organism in Eukaryota, Metazoa, Chordata, Aves, Galliformes, Numididae.